RNAcentral lists this ribosomal RNA (253 nucleotides) under uncultured bacterium. RNAcentral describes it as "partial 16S ribosomal RNA". It matches the Rfam family "Bacterial small subunit ribosomal RNA", at positions 524 to 776 of the family's 1533-position model. The record is from RNAcentral.
UACGGAGGGUGCAAGCGUUAUCCGGAUUCACUGGGUUUAAAGGGUGCGUAGGUGGUCUUGUAAGUCAGUGGUGAAAUACCGCAGCUCAACUGCGGAACUGCCAUUGAUACUGCUUGACUUGAAUUAGGUUGAGGUGGAUGGAAUAUUACAUGUAGCGGUGAAAUGCUUAGAUAUGUAAUAGAACACCGAUUGCGAAGGCAGUUCACUAAACCUAUAUUGACACUGAGGCACGAAAGCGUGGGGAUCAAACAGG